This 413-nucleotide long non-coding RNA is filed under the name Linum usitatissimum (flax). RNAcentral describes it as "long non-coding RNA (LUSI_LNC001658)". Lineage: Eukaryota; Viridiplantae; Streptophyta; Magnoliopsida; Malpighiales; Linaceae. The record is from RNAcentral.
AUUUUUUUUGCAGCAAAGUUAAUUUGGAUCUUCAGAAUUGUCACUAACGUGUUAUGCGUCGUUUGGAUGGGUGAUUUGAAACUCGAUGAAGAUUUGGUUCUAAAUCAUAUGUUUAGACACUUAAAUCGGAAAGAUAUUUAGGGUGAUUUGAAAUUAUCUGUUGGGUUCGAAGAGAAUUUCAUGGAUGAUUUCAAAUCUCCCAGGGAGAUAGAGAUUUCAAAAGAGAGAUGCGAGAUUUGAAAAUUUUCAUCAAAAUUAAUUAUUAUUUUCAUAAAAUUAUAUCAUCAUCCAAACGACGCGUUAAUCUUUUAAAUGGGUUAGCUAUGUGGGUAAUUGAUUAUAAUUUUUUGGAUGAGACAAAGAUGGAAGAGCUAAUAGAGAAUUUUAUUUCAGAUAAUCUUAUACAGGUAUUA